CCCGUUAGUGGCGGACGGGUGAGUAUCGCGUAGGGAUUUAUCGUUGGGUGGGGGAGUAACCUUGGGAAACUGGGGCUAAUACCGCAUGACGCCUGAGGGCCAAAGUUGUAAUGGCGCCUGACGAGGAGCCUGCGUCCGAUUAGGUAGUUGGUUGGGUAAUGGCUGACCAAGCCUGCGAUCGGUAGCUGGUCUGAGAGGAUGAUCAGCCACACUGGGACUGAGACACGGCCCAG
RNAcentral lists this ribosomal RNA (233 nucleotides) under uncultured bacterium. Its description in RNAcentral is "partial 16S ribosomal RNA". It matches the Rfam family "Bacterial small subunit ribosomal RNA", at positions 88 to 334 of the family's 1533-position model. The record is from RNAcentral.